RNAcentral lists this microRNA (21 nucleotides) under Populus trichocarpa (black cottonwood). RNAcentral describes it as "ptc-miR7834". Lineage: Eukaryota; Viridiplantae; Streptophyta; Magnoliopsida; Malpighiales; Salicaceae. The record is from miRBase by way of RNAcentral.
UAAUAAAAUCUCGACUAUUAU